CAGCCGCCGCGGUAAUACGGAGGGGGCUAGUGUUGUUCGGAAUUACUGGGCGUAAAGCGCACGUAGGCGGCUUUGUAAGUUAGAGGUGAAAGCCCGGGGCUCAACCCCGGAAUUGCCUUUAAGACUGCAGAGCUAGCAGGUGAGAGAGGUGAGUGGAAUUCCGAGUGUAGAGGUGAAAUUCGUAGAUAUUCGGAAGAGCACCAGUGGCGAAGGCGGCUUACUGGCUCAUACUGGACGCUGAGGUGCGAAAGCGUGGGGAGCAAACAGGAUUAGAUACCCGCGUAGUCCCUGUCUCUUAUAC
This 301-nucleotide ribosomal RNA is filed under the name uncultured bacterium. RNAcentral describes it as "partial 16S ribosomal RNA". It matches the Rfam family "Bacterial small subunit ribosomal RNA", at positions 509 to 807 of the family's 1533-position model. The record is from RNAcentral.